This 315-nucleotide ribosomal RNA is filed under the name uncultured Pseudomonas sp. Its description in RNAcentral is "bacterial SSU rRNA". It matches the Rfam family "Bacterial small subunit ribosomal RNA", at positions 1068 to 1382 of the family's 1533-position model. Lineage: Bacteria; Pseudomonadati; Pseudomonadota; Gammaproteobacteria; Pseudomonadales; Pseudomonadaceae. The record is from RNAcentral.
UGAGAUGUUGGGUUAAGUCCCGUAACGAGCGCAACCCUUGUCCUUAGUUACCAGCACGUUAUGGUGGGCACUCUAAGGAGACUGCCGGUGACAAACCGGAGGAAGGUGGGGAUGACGUCAAGUCAUCAUGGCCCUUACGGCCUGGGCUACACACGUGCUACAAUGGUCGGUACAAAGGGUUGCCAAGCCGCGAGGUGGAGCUAAUCCCAUAAAACCGAUCGUAGUCCGGAUCGCAGUCUGCAACUCGACUGCGUGAAGUCGGAAUCGCUAGUAAUCGUGAAUCAGAAUGUCACGGUGAAUACGUUCCCGGGCCUU